UACGUAGGGUCCAAGCGUUAUCCGGAAUCACUGGGCGUAAAGCGUGCGUAGGCGGUUUGUUAAGUGAGAUGUGAAAUCGUGUGGCUCAACCAUAUCGUUGUGUCUCAUACUGGCAGACUAGAGGAUAGCAGAGGCAAGUGGAAUUACGAGUGUAGCAGUGAAAUGCGUAGAGAUUCGUAGGAACACCAAUGGCGAAGGCAGCUUGCUGGGCUAUAUCUGACGCUCAGGCACGAAAGCGUGGGGAGCGAACAGG
RNAcentral lists this ribosomal RNA (253 nucleotides) under uncultured prokaryote. RNAcentral describes it as "partial 16S ribosomal RNA". It matches the Rfam family "Bacterial small subunit ribosomal RNA", at positions 524 to 776 of the family's 1533-position model. The record is from RNAcentral.